GGGCUGAUAGCUCAGCCAGGCAGAGCAUCUGGCUCUUAACCAGACGGCCGAGGGUUCAAAUCCCUCUCAGCCCG
This 74-nucleotide transfer RNA is filed under the name Halomarina oriensis. It matches the Rfam family "tRNA". Rfam says of the family: Transfer RNA (tRNA) molecules are approximately 80 nucleotides in length. Their secondary structure includes four short double-helical elements and three loops (D, anti-codon, and T loops). Further hydrogen bonds mediate the characteristic L-shaped molecular structure. tRNAs have two regions of fundamental functional importance: the anti-codon, which is responsible for specific mRNA codon recognition, and the 3' end, to which the tRNAs corresponding amino acid is attached (by aminoacyl-tRNA synthetases). tRNAs cope with the degeneracy of the genetic code in two manners: having more than one tRNA (with a specific anti-codon) for a particular amino acid; and 'wobble' base-pairing, i.e. permitting non-standard base-pairing at the 3rd anti-codon position. The record is from Rfam by way of RNAcentral. Lineage: Archaea; Methanobacteriati; Methanobacteriota; Halobacteria; Halobacteriales; Natronomonadaceae. RNAcentral also lists the same sequence under 6 other names.